AGAUUAAGUUAUUAAGGGCGCACGGUGGAUACCUUGGCACUAGAAGCCUAUGAAGGACGUUACUAACGACGAUAUGCUUUGGGGAGCUGUAAGUAAGCUUUGAUCCAGAGAUUUCCGAAUGGGGAAACCCAGCACGAGUUAUGUCGUGUUAUCGAUAUGUGAAUACAUAGCAUAUUCGAAGGCAGACGCGGAGAACUGAAACAUCUUAGUACCCGCAGGAAGAGAAAGAAAAAUCGAUUCCCUGAGUAGCGGCGAGCGAAACGGGAAGAGCCCAAACCAACGAGCUUGCUUGUUGGGGUUGUAGGACACUCUAUACGGAGUUACAAAAGAACAAAUUAGACGAAUCAUCUGGAAAGAUGAAUCAAAGAAGGUAAUAAUCCUGUAGUCGAAAGUUUGUUCACUCUUGAGUGGAUCCUGAGUACGGCGGAACACGAGAAAUUCCGUCGGAAUCCGGGAGGACCAUCUCCCAAGGCUAAAUACUCUCUAGUGACCGAUAGUGAACCAGUACCGUGAGGGAAAGGUGAAAAGUACCCCGGAAGGGGAGUGAAAUAGAACUUGAAACCGUGUGCUUACAAGUAGUCAGAGCCCGUUAAUGGGUGAUGGCGUGCCUUUUGUAGAAUGAACCGGCGAGUUACGAUUUGAUGCAAGGUUAAGCAGUAAAUGUGGAGCCGUAGCGAAAGCGAGUCUGAAUAGGGCGUUGAGUAUUUGGUCGUAGACCCGAAACCAGGUGAUCUACCCAUGACCAGGCUGAAGUUCAGGUAACACUGAAUGGAGGGCCGAACCGACUUACGUUGAAAAGUGAGCGGAUGAGUUGUGGGUAGCGGAGAAAUUCCAAUCGAACCUGGAGAUAGCUGGUUCUCUCCGAAAUAGCUUUAGGGCUAGCCUCAAGUGAUGAUUAUUGGAGGUAGAGCACUGUUUGGACGAGGGGCCCUUAUCGGGUUACCGAAUUCAGACAAACUCCGAAUGCCAAUCAAUUUAACUUGGGAGUCAGAACGCGGGUGAUAAGGUCCGUGUUCGAGAGGGAAACAGCCCAGACCACCAGCUAAGGUCCCAAAAUAUAUGUUAAGUGGAAAAGGAUGUGGCGUUGCCCAGACAACUAGGAUGUUGGCUUAGAAGCAGCCAUCAUUUAAAGAGUGCGUAAUAGCUCACUAGUCGAGUGACACUGCGCCGAAAAUGUACCGGGGCUAAACAUAUUACCGAAGCUGUGGAUUGUCCGUAGGACAAUGGUAGGAGAGCGUUCUAAGGGCGUUGAAGCAUGAUCGCAAGGACAUGUGGAGCGCUUAGAAGUGAGAAUGCCGGUGUGAGUAGCGAAAGACGGGUGAGAAUCCCGUCCACCGAUUGACUAAGGU
RNAcentral lists this ribosomal RNA (1349 nucleotides) under Staphylococcus succinus. RNAcentral's name for it is "bacterial LSU rRNA". It matches the Rfam family "Bacterial large subunit ribosomal RNA", at positions 1 to 1351 of the family's 2925-position model. Lineage: Bacteria; Bacillati; Bacillota; Bacilli; Caryophanales; Staphylococcaceae. The record is from RNAcentral.